This 245-nucleotide unclassified non-coding RNA is filed under the name plant metagenome. RNAcentral's name for it is "partial contains small subunit ribosomal RNA, internal transcribed spacer 1, and 5.8S ribosomal RNA". The stretch from base 197 to 245 matches the Rfam family "5.8S ribosomal RNA", at positions 1 to 49 of the family's 154-position model. The record is from RNAcentral.
UCUCCGUUGGUGAACCAGCGGAGGGAUCAUUACAGGACUCGCAAGACUCCUACAACCCUGUGAACUUAACUAUAAGCACGUUGCUUCGGCGGGUGUCUCGGAGAGGGUUCUCCCUCCCCGGGGCGCUAAGCCCGCCGGCAGCCUACUAUACUCUGUCUCUUUGCGUUGGCAUCUCGAGUACAAACAAACAAGUUAAAACUUUCAACAACGGAUCUCUUGGUUCUGACAUCGAUGAAGAACGCAGC